Molecule: ribosomal RNA, 117 nt
Filed under: Anaerolineae bacterium
Lineage: Bacteria; Bacillati; Chloroflexota; Anaerolineae
Source: RNAcentral
CGUGGCGAUGAUAGCGGAGGGGCCACACCCGUUCCCAUUCCGAACACGGAAGUUAAGCCCGCCAGCGCCGAUGGUACUUGGGGGGAAGCCCCCUGGGAGAGUAGGUCGUCGCCAGGA